Molecule: long non-coding RNA, 460 nt
Organism: Cyprinus carpio (common carp)
Lineage: Eukaryota; Metazoa; Chordata; Actinopteri; Cypriniformes; Cyprinidae
Exons: 2
Source: RefSeq, a predicted model, not a curated record
GUGUGAAGGCGGAGACCCGUCAACGCUAGCGCUCCUUCGAUGGAGUAACAACCCAGCUGAGAUCCAUGUACAUCAGAACAGGUUUGAGUGGGGAAUAUGGGUGUGGAGAAUCACAGCCCAGUAGUUGACGUGUAGAUGAUUCCCAAUCCCAGCCGAUCUCCAGCCUGCUGCACACACACGGAUACUGUCUGUCUGUCCGGCAGGCCCAGUCCACGGCCCUCUUCACUGCUUCCCAGUACAUCGGUCUGAAUGGAGAAGAGUAGAAAGCCAUGGAUCCAAAAAUACAAGAGUAAAUCACGGCGCUGCAUGAGGACGUGUGCUGGUACCUGGGCUCCUGGGACUCUUUCAGCCGGAGGAGAGACUCGAGCAGCUGUCCCACUGCCAGCUUCUUCACCCGGAUCAACUGCAGCACCAGCAGAGUCGCCACCAGCCUCAGAAUGUCAGCAUGAGCCUUCACACC